This 440-nucleotide ribosomal RNA is filed under the name uncultured bacterium. RNAcentral's name for it is "partial 16S ribosomal RNA". It matches the Rfam family "Bacterial small subunit ribosomal RNA", at positions 338 to 795 of the family's 1533-position model. The record is from RNAcentral.
CCUACGGGUGGCAGCAGUAGGGAAUAUUGCUCAAUGGGGGAAACCCUGAAGCAGCAACGCCGCGUGAGGGAUGAAGGUUCUCGGAUUGUAAACCCCUUUUGUUAGAGAAGAUAAUGACGGUAUCUAACGAAUAAGCACCGGCUAACUCCGUGCCAGCAGCCGCGGUAAUACGGAGGGAGCAAGCGUUAUUCGGAAUCACUGGGCGUAAAGGGCGCGUAGGCGGGAUAGCAAGUCAGGUGUGAAAUCCUAUGGGUUAACCAUAGAACUGCAGUUGAAACUGGUAUUCUUGAGUAUGCGAGAGGUAUGUGGAAUGCGUGGUGUAGCGGUGAAAUGCGUAGAGAUCAAGAAGAACUCUGAUUGCGAAGGCAGCCUGCUGGAACAUAACUGACGCUGAUGCGCGAAAGCGUGGGGAGCAAACAGGAUUAGAUACCCUAGUAGUC